Molecule: transfer RNA, 72 nt
Filed under: Salmo salar (Atlantic salmon)
Lineage: Eukaryota; Metazoa; Chordata; Actinopteri; Salmoniformes; Salmonidae
Rfam family: tRNA
About the family: Transfer RNA (tRNA) molecules are approximately 80 nucleotides in length. Their secondary structure includes four short double-helical elements and three loops (D, anti-codon, and T loops).
Source: Rfam by way of RNAcentral
UUCCCUGUGGCUCAGUUGGUAGAGCAUGGUGUGUGCAACGCCAGGGUUGUGGGUUCGAUUCCCACGGGGAGG